RNAcentral lists this long non-coding RNA (639 nucleotides) under Durio zibethinus. RNAcentral's name for it is "long non-coding RNA (DZIB_LNC001231)". The record is from RNAcentral. Lineage: Eukaryota; Viridiplantae; Streptophyta; Magnoliopsida; Malvales; Malvaceae.
CUGAUCAAAGAAAAUUUCUAAACAAGAGAACCAAUUUACAGAGAUUAUUAGCACAUGCCAAGCGGAUCUCAAUAUAAAGAGGAAGUAAGACCGGCUCCACCAAAUUUCUCUCUAAAUUGCUUUUCCAUCCAUUUCUAGUUGGUUCAUAUGCACGCAAGGAGAUAUGUAAAACUGGAAAGACCAAACAGGCAAAUCUGUCCUUGUUAUUUGCCCCGGUUUGCUCAGGUUAUCUCUUCAUCUAACGGAAGCACAGAUCGAUUGCUGAUUGUGUAGCCCAGUUACUCCAUUUCGAAAGUGCUGCCUGUUUCUUCUUCGUUUUCUUACUACCAUAAAGCCUUCGCCAUCCCCGAUUUUCUUUUUACUCACAUCUAAUUUUUUUGGUUCUUCACAGCUACCGGAUUGAGAAUCCAAGUCUUUCCCUUCAUUUCCAUAAAGAAUUUUUAUUAUUGCACUGUCAUUUGCAACUGCAUCUGAAGAAUUUUCCGAAUGGUUGAGCCUUUUGUCAUUCACUGCAGGCUCACUCGUAGGAUCCACGUUCUGCUUGACUGACCUGACAAUGAAGCUAAGCAAAAUCUGCCUCGCUAGCUCUGAUUUCUCCUCAGCGCUACUCUUUUUCAAAUUAGAAUCUUUUACUUCCCU